GCUAAACGCGAAGAACCUUACCUGGACUUGACAUCCCUAGACAGCCGUAGAGAUACGGUUUCCCCUUCGGGGGCUAGGAGACAGGUGCUGCAUGGCUGUCGUCAGCUCGUAUUGUGAGAUGUCGGGUUAAGUCCCUUAACGAGCGCAACCCUUAUCCCUAGUUGCCAUCAUUCAGUUGGGCACUCUAUGGAGACUGCCGGUGUUAAACCGGAGGAAGGCGGGGAUGACGUCAAGUCCUCAUGGCCUUUAUGUCCAGGGCUAUACACGUGCUACAAUGGCCGGUACAGAGGGUUGCCAACCCGCAAGGGGGAGCUAAUCUCAGAAAGCCGGUCUCAGCUCGGAUUGAAGUCUGCAACUCGACUUCAUGAAGCUGGAAUCGCUAGUAAUCGCGGAUCAGCACGCCGCGGUGAAUACGUUCCCGGGUCUUGUACACACC
This 436-nucleotide ribosomal RNA is filed under the name uncultured bacterium. RNAcentral's name for it is "bacterial SSU rRNA". It matches the Rfam family "Bacterial small subunit ribosomal RNA", at positions 954 to 1391 of the family's 1533-position model. The record is from RNAcentral.